CAAGGGGGGGGGGAGACCCCGAAAGGUUGGGGGUUGCAGGGGGUGCAGGCUGAGGGAAAGGGAAGGAGGGAGGACAGCACCCUCUUUCCCCUCACAGAUUGUUACCUCCUGUGACCCCCACAACCUGCUCUCAGUUGGUCAUUGGAAGAAGACAGCUUUCCCAGGAAGCCUGGGGGAAUACUGGAUUCCGUUUCUUUUAGCUGGUGGGCUGAGAGGCCUACUCACCUUUACAAAGAUGGAGUGUUAGCAAGCCCAGAACUCAGGGAAGAGGCCCUUCCCUGGCCCUCACUACCUCUGACCUCCCACGAAGUUGAAGACUUAAGUUUUCCAUUCCGGUGCACACCCUUCACAGCUUUUUAAAAAACGUUCCCAGCCAUCUGUCUAGAAACCCACAUCCUUAGUUAGGGGCCCAACACCUUGAACACCAGAAUUCUUCAGCUGGUCUCUGCACCCUUAAGCACAGGCUUCCUCAGAGAAGUAAAAUUAAAAAAAUUAAAAUAAAAUAAAAAAAUAAAAAGUUCUGUACAGGAAUUUGGAUUGAAUAAUUUAUUCCCUGUAUUAUGAUAGUAAUGGGAGCAAAUACACAAUUUUUUAUUAAUAAAACAAAAAAAGAUGAAAAACAGAAGCAACAAAUGAAGACAUCCAUACUGCCCAUAAUACAUCAGCCAUGCGAUCAGAAAACCCAUUUCUAAAGAACAACGGUUGCUGGUGUCCGAGUUUUAUUGCAUUCAUCGGGGGAAAGGGAGAUGGUUGGAAUGAAAAAGAUCCAUCAGUCUUCUGACAGGAAGAUGUUAUAAGGGGGCUCCAACCCCAAUGGGUACGCCUCUUGUUACCACCUUUGGAGCAGAAGAUGAAGGGGAGAGAGAGCUUCUCCCUAUGGCCUCAUGGCUUCUUGUGAGACAGAUCAGUCCAGCCAGAUACAGAGCAAAGCAGCUUUGCAUCACCACAGGCCAGUUGCUGGUGCCCACCUUUAUGU
Molecule: non-coding RNA, 976 nt
Organism: Macaca mulatta (Rhesus monkey)
Lineage: Eukaryota; Metazoa; Chordata; Mammalia; Primates; Cercopithecidae
Source: RefSeq, a predicted model, not a curated record